GACGAACGCUGGCGGCGUGCCUAAUACAUGCAAGUCGAGCGAGUCUGCCUUGAAGAUCGGAGUGCUUGCACUCUGUGAAACAAGAUACAGGCUAGCGGCGGACGGGUGAGUAACACGUGGGUAACCUGCCCAAGAGAUCGGGAUAACACCUGGAAACAGAUGCUAAUACCGGAUAACAACAGAUGAUGCCUAUCAACUGUUUAAAAGAUGGUUCUGCUAUCACUCUUGGAUGGACCUGCGGUGCAUUAGCUAGUUGGUAGGGUAACGGCCUACCAAGGCGAUGAUGCAUAGCCGAGUUGAGAGACUGAUCGGCCACAUUGGGACUGAGACACGGCCCAAACUCCUACGGGAGGCAGCAGUAGGGAAUCUUCCACAAUGGACGCAAGUCUGAUGGAGCAACGCCGCGUGAGUGAAGAAGGGUUUCGGCUCGUAAAGCUCUGUUGUUGGUGAAGAAGGACAGGGGUAGUAAC
RNAcentral lists this ribosomal RNA (470 nucleotides) under uncultured bacterium. RNAcentral's name for it is "bacterial SSU rRNA". It matches the Rfam family "Bacterial small subunit ribosomal RNA", at positions 28 to 465 of the family's 1533-position model. The record is from RNAcentral.